Molecule: ribosomal RNA, 460 nt
Filed under: uncultured bacterium
Lineage: Bacteria
Description: partial 16S ribosomal RNA
Rfam family: Bacterial small subunit ribosomal RNA
Source: RNAcentral
CCUACGGGAGGCAGCAGUGAGGAAUAUUGGUCAAUGGGCGCGAGCCUGAACCAGCCAAGUCGCGUGAAGGAGGACGGCCCUACGGGUUGUAAACCUCUUUUGCCGGGGAGCAACGGGCGUCACGUGUGGCGCCACUGAGAGUACCCGGAGAAAAAGCAUCGGCUAACUCCGGGCCAGCAGCCGCGGUAAUACGGAGGAUGCGAGCGUUAUCCGGAUUUAGUGGGUUUAAGGGGUGCGUAGGCGGAUCGUUAAGUCAGUGGUCAAAUUGAGGGGCUCAACCCCUUCCCGCCAUUGAAACUGGCGCUCUUGAGUGGAAGAGAAGUAUGCGGAAUGCGUGGUGUAGCGGUGAAAUGCAUAGAUAUCACGCAGAACCCCGAUUGCGAAGGCAGCAUGCCGGCUUCCGACUGACGCUGAAGCACGAAAGCGUGGGGAUCGAACAGGAUUAGAUACCCCAGUAGUC